UCUGUCCUCCAUGCUGCCACCACUGCAGCCUCUGCUCUGCUCUCUUGAAGCCUUGCAGCCCUGCCACCGUGUCGUGCCCAGAGCAUUAGGUGGAGCUCUUUUUAUAGAGUCAACAGUCAUGUAUUGCCCACAGGUGUGUAGUGAGCUAGUCAACCAGGGCCAGGUGAGAAUCCUGGCCACAGGAACUCUCAUUUUAUCCACAUAGGGCAUUUUAUCAGUUAGAAUUCUUUGAGAGGCCAACUCUAUCCAAUUUAACCUCUAUACUGGUAACAAUUUCUUAUGGACAAUGAUUUUAUAAUUUUAAUUUCUCUACAUUUAGUUAAAUGAAGAAGAAGAGAAGGCCAGUGUGCUACCAAAGGAAGCAUACUAUUUUUGAGUAAAGCAUCCCUAACAGUACCCAGCACAGUGAUCUGUAUUGACUAGACUCUCAGUAAGUAUUGGUAUAAAGAAAAAGGAGGGAAAAAAGGGAGAUAGACCUGUUUCAACGGGGUUUACCUGAGAAAUUCAUAAACAUUGAUCUCAUAUUCAUCCUCUCCUUAGGCCAUUUGGUUGUAGAUCCUGGACUAGAGGGCCUCAAUUGUUGUUGAUAAUAUGAGUGACAAUGUAGGAAAAUACUCUCUCCUUCAAGAUCAACCUAAAGCCAUAGUGUAAGGUGCUCUACAAUCAAUAAGCUGGGUUAGUUAAAAAGUAAACGAACACAGUUUUCACAUGCACACAAUCUCAGAAUAUGUGGGGAAGUAUAAAUAGAGUAGGUGGUUUUUCUUGAAAAAAUGUAUGGUAUUUCUGCUGAUGUGUUUGUUUAGUAUUGCACUUAUUUCUUUUUAAAUGUGGCUAAGGACCUCUAAUAUUAAAUAUCAUGGACUUUCUGUAGUGUAGGAUAGUCAUCCUCCUCCCCUAGGUAGUGUGAUUUCUCUUUCAUGUUAUUUAGAUAAAAGUAGGUUAUAUUGAAUUGUAUCAGGUGUUGCUGACAGGUUCUGACCUUUUGACCCAACCUUUCUAUUAUGCUUUUUUUAUUCUUCCAUAUGGAUGCUCUUUUUUCUUUCACAGUGUUUCAAGACUCAGCUACUGCUUUAUGAUGUUUGAUUCAUAUUCUUUAUCAAUAUGUUCCUUUCUGUAAACAAACAAAUCAAAUAUGUGUAGUGGUCUAUAAUUACAAUUUUCAGUCCUCUCUUUUUUAUUUAAGAAAAUACAUACAUACAAGUCUGUUUUUAGCUUAUAUUUUUGGUAGCUGUUUUAUUAAGGGAGAUGUAAAUAUUUUCAGUUUUUUCAGCAGAAUAGAAAUGUAAUCUCACCCCUGUCCUGAUGCACAAUAUUGUUUGGAAUGGAGUGAAAAACUUGUUUCAGAUUAAAAUACCCUUAUUAGAAAAAGAAGCUAAAAAGGUAAAUAUUAGUUGAUUUGAAAUAGAUCCUUUCCAACUAUGGCUUUGUUUUGUUGCCAGGGUACUGUUUUUUUCUUUUAUAGUCAACUUCUGUUUUCAUCUCUACAACCUAUACGAGAAACGAACAUCUUCAUGGUAAUUACUUGACAUUGAUUUCAUAGCUUCACAUUGUGAUUGGUGUGUUUGAUGACAUGGAUUAUGGUGGGGACACAUUGAAAGAUAAAUUGAGAGAAGAUAAAUGACUCAGGUUGUAUGUGUAUAUACACACUGUACCAGUUGAAGGUUAAAAGGCAACCAAGCAGCCCCACUAAACCAAAUUACCAUUCUGACUCAUUUUUUCACUAAAUUGUACAAGUUCUGUAACCUUAUUGAAAUCACCAAAUCAAUCAUGCCUUGGCAUCUUGUAGACACAGUCAUAAAAUAUUUUCCUGGAGAAAUGAGACUAUUUUAAUGGCUUCAUUUUUCCCUCUUCAGUGAAAAGCACUCAUUUGGACUGUGAAAGAGACAUUUUCCUCUUAUAAAUCCUUUAGAAUUCAAAAUAUUGGAACACUCAACUGUCACGAUGUCAUUUUUAUCCACACUUUUCACCACUGUGGUGAUUCUCAUUGCCAAGUAAAGAUUAGCACUAGACACUCUAUAGAAUUUAUAUUUUUCUGAUUUUUUUCUUUGUGAAUGUAAAGAGACAUUUUCAAGUGUAUUUUUACAGAAAUGCAUUGCAGUAAGACUGAAGGAGAAUUUACCAUUCUCAGGAAUUUGGUGUUGACUUUCGUGAUCAGCCUGCGUAAGAAGAUACUGUUCUAUCAUUUUGAGAUGGUUAAAAGCAAAGGAACUGUUGCUUUAAUUCCAUAAAUAAAAAAAUAUGUAUAUUAAAUAGGCAUUAAAUUUUAAUUGAGAAAGUAUGAUGCUAUUGGAGUAGGUUUUUAAGUCAUUUUAUCAGAGUAGGAAGUUAUUUUUAGAUUCAUGAAUAAAACAUUCCCAAACCAAUUAUAGUAAAAGUAGAUGCCUCUAGUGCAGUGAUAGUUUGAGUGCUUUUUAUUUGAAAUUUUAGAAUAAUGAAAGAUCAAUAAAGUUAUCAUUACUAAUAUGCCCCAAAGAAGUAAUGCUAUUUACGUGUAACAAAAAACAAAGUGCUUCUAAAUUAUAAAUAUGUAAGAUAACAUAAUGGAAAGAGCACAAGCUUUAGAUUUCACAGGCUGGGCUGAAAUCUUGGAUCCACCACUUAUUUAUUAACUGUGCAAAAGUUGCUGAGUCUCUCUGAGUCUCAGUUACCUCAUCUGAAAUAGGGAUAACAGUUUCUGUUUAAAAAAUGAUGUAUGCAGUUAUGUCUAUUAUGAAAAAAUGUGUGUAUGUUAGGCUCCAGAUUAAGGGCUCACUAAGUGUUAAAUGUUAUUACAAGCACCAUAGUUGUUUAAAUGUCCUCUCCAAACUGCAUGAACAUGAAGAUAUAUAGUUUAUAAGGUAGAAUGGAAAAUUCAUAUGAAUUUCAAAGCUAAGAGGAGCUCUGUGUGCCUCUGUGUGUCUGUGUUCUGUGGCUGCUAUUGUAGGGUAUGCCACCAGAUAAUGGGAUGAGAAUUUACUUUCCUUUAUUGUUAAGGAUGUAUUGAUGGGAAAAAAUUUUGUCACUCAUAGGACAUAAUUUAGCAAGUUUGUACCAAACGUUAGUUGAUUUUUAGAUAUGCAGCAACCCUUUACUCUUCAUAAAUGCACCCAGUUUCUUUUUGAGGAAUCAUCUCUUCGCUACUGGAUACAGUUUGGUGGUGCUCUAACUCGGCCUCUCUUUUCCUAAAUAGAGGGCAGCCAUAUAGCCCAGGGUAGACAAGUCAGGAGGUCGGUUCCUGGAAUUUGAUUUUUUUAAUAGAAGGCAACAAACAUGAAAGUCAGUUGACAUUCAUUCACUCCUAACGUUGGUGAAGCCCUCAUCACUGUGUUUCUGCAGUUUGCUUCCAAGUCUCAAGAGCUAUCCUUUGUUUCCAGUUCCUUCUAAAAUUAGAUCUGUAGUCUUCUGUUGUCCUGCUCUUUCAAAAAAAAAAUUCCUUUUGCCUAAAUUUCCACAGUGAUUGUCUGUUACUUGUGAUCAAAUAAUUGUGACUGAUAGAGGAUAAUAGCUAGAUUAUAUGUUGAAGGGACUGUGCUUUUGGUUGUUGUACACCAUGGUGUCACUAGCAUGAUGUUUCUAACAUAGUCACUAGAGGCUAAGCAUAGUGUCUGGCACACAGAGGGACUCACUGUAUAUUUACUGACUGAUCUGUUGCCUUAAGAGCAAAGGAACAAACUUCUAAUGGCAGCUUUGUGGCUUCCACACAGUAAAACACAUAUGUGUGUGCACACUGCUGUGCGUUUGGUCAGGGGAAGGGCGGUGUGCAGCUCCCAUGGCACUGCUUGGGUGUGAGGCAGCUGAGCAUGAAGGUGCUCCACAUGCACUCUGCCACUAUUCUGAGUUACAUUCAGAUGGAUUUGUUGUUCAGUAACCCUAUUUUGCAUUACUUCCCAGCACCAACACCCUGCUUCAGGAAACCACUGUCCUCAACGUUCCCCAAACACACCAUGCUCAUUCCCAAGUCCAGGUUAUGAUGUGCAAUUCCCUGUAUUGAUCUCUUCUGCCUCUUGAAUAAGUAGAACAGUUGUCACAUGUAUCAUCAUAGCAGAACAUGUAAGAGACAGCACUCUAGAUCCAUCAUACUCAUGAUUUAGAUCCCAAUUCUAUCAUUUAUUAGCUACUUGACUUGGGGUGAGUUCCUUAAGCAUGCUAUGAAUGUUACUACAUUUGUAAAACAGGGCUGAUGAUGCUGCCUAACUUAUCUGGGGGGGAGAAGAAUUUAAACUUAAUAUUGACAAGGGACUUACUUUAGAGCUUGGCACGCAGUGUUCUAGACAUUACAGCUGUUCAACAAUAUUUGGUUCCGUUCCACUUCUGGGCAUACAGGAUGAUUACAGUUCUCUGCUAUUGCCCACACCACCCCCACCUCCAAGUCUACUUCCUGGCUUGCUCUGCCAGAGAAGAAGCACCUUCAGACUGAAAUAUUCUAGAAUUCUAGUCAUCCUGUUGAGAACAUCUGUUCUGGAGACUUGCCUAAACCUGCAGUAGACUCCUACUGGGUUAAGUCGCAGCUGCAACCAGCCUAUGCAGAGUAGUAUACUACUAAUCUAAAAAAGUGUUAACUGAUUUUGCUAUAUAUUCACUUAUUCUGGCAGUCCUAUCCAUAAGAUCAUAGAUUUUUAGGUUUGUAUCUUUGUCUUCUCAGUGAAGUGUUAGAGAGAAGAUGUCGUAGCUUGUGCUUUUUUCUGUUAUCCCUCCUCAGUGCCUAACACCAUAUGGGUACAGUGUACCCUGUGAAUAUUAAUCACAUGAAAAAGAUACUCCAAUAUUCUAGCUCUGUAGGAAAUUCAUAGUUUCCCCAUGGGAUCUUUUGCAAAGGCUGAUAACGACUCAUCAGAGAGGAUUACAGCAGGUAUAUAUAAAUCCAUAAUCUCCAAAAUCUUUCUCUCAGUCCAAGUUUUUCUGUCUACCACAAAUCUGAGCCAGAAAGCUGAAAGUCAUGCUUAUCCCUCUUCUUCAUCUCCCACAUUCAGUCUAUAAGUCCUGUCAGUCUCUUUCCCAAAUAUCUCCCAAAUCUGUUUCUCUGUCUCCAUCUCCUCAACAACUAUCUUCGUUCUGUUCACCAUAAUUUAUUUAAGGGAUAAUUGAAACAGCCUCCUUACUGUUCUUAUUUCUAGCCUUGCCCCAUCCCAUCUGUUUUGUUCUCUUGAUCCAGAGUGAACGUUUUAUAAAACACAGAUCUGAUCACGUCACUUGUCUGCUUUAAAUGGGUUUCCCACUGCCUUCGUGAUAAAUUCCAGAUUCUCUAAUUUGGCAAAUAAUGUCCUCUGUGAUUUUCUAAUCUUUUCUCAUGAUUUUGCGUCACUACCCCUCUCAAACACUGUGCUUCAGUCAUGUUGAAUUAUUCAGUUCUUUAAACAAGCCCUAUUUUCCUCUUUAAGCCUUCUCAUACUUUUCUUUUAGCCUGGAAUAUUCUUCAUGUUGCCACUUUGCUUGAUUAACUCCUAUUCGUCCUUCAGGUCUCAGCUCAGAUGAUUAUACCCUCUGGGAAGUUUUGCAGACCUUCCCAGAACUGUUCAUCCUUAGCACCUCCUGCUUAACCUUCAUGUGACAAAGUCAUAUAGCAUAUUGACUUGUGAUCAGAGGGAUCUGCGUUUCAGUAUCAGCUUUGCCAGUUUUUCAAGGAGUGACUUUGGGCAAAUUACAUGGUACAUGAUGAUGAUGAUCUUAUCUUCCUUGUAUUAUUGGAUCAAAAGCUUUCAGCACAGCACUGGGAGCAUAGCAAAUGCUUAAUAAAUGCUCGCUACCUUUGUUGUUGCCUCACUUAACAAAAAGACUAUCCCCAAGAGUCCUAAGUGAAUGAUCCCAUGCUCAACUCUGAGAAUAAGUUUCUCCUCUUUCCACGUUUUUUAAAUCAAUGAAAGCAACCCUAUUUUUUAGUGACAAAUAGAGAAUUAAACUCUGUUUCUCCUAAUACUACUAGAGUUUUCACUCAGUGCCUUUGGGAAAAUGUUUAGUGAACCUGAGUGAUAAGAACUUCAUAUAAAAUUUUCUACAAGUACAACUCUUCAGCUCUUUGAUUUUGAGGGGCUCAGAUCAUUGCAUUUUCUAGUCAUAGAGGCAUCGUUUCAAUACGAAAGGCAUUCUGUUUCUUAUGAAGAGAUAUCAGGAUGCUGUGCUGAGUAAUUGCCCCAGUGCAUUUUCUGGGCUGUCUGUUCUUUAAAGAAUAAUUCCCCUGUGCCUAAGUAAAUCCACAGAGGCUCUGUUUACUGGGUCUUUAGAAACCAUCUGGUUGGUCAACACUCAGGGAAAGUCUGUAUCUAAAUGAGUCAAGGAUAUUUGCCUUACUUUUUUAGAGAUCUAAAAUGGAAGGAAAUUCCUUUCAAGAUAUAGUCCCUUGGCUAAAAGUUAAGCACAUCUCCCCAGUGUGCUAGUUAUUUCUAGUUUCCAUGUAAUGAAUAACUUUAAUGUUUAAUAGUGGCAGUGAGUUAUUAAAAUUAUCAUAUGCUCUCAGUCUUCUGAAGACUACAUCAGAUAAAUUAUUUUGACUGUUUAUCAUCCAACAUUUCUUCUCUGAGUACAAUCAUGUCCUUCAAUACUGGAGAACAAGACACCUAUUUGUACACAUGUGUAACAUUGCUAGCUUUUAAAAUAACGUAACAGAUUCUUCUUUUAUAGUACUUAAUUAUUAAUCCAUCCUAAAAUAAGUGCAAUUAUUAAUGGUGGGGAGAAAGGAUGAGGUGAUAGAGGAGGAAGGUUAUAUAAGUGGAAUGUUCCUAGACUUCUCGGACUUAGUAAUUCCUCCUAUAUUUAGUCCUUUUUCCCAGCUAAUUCUCAAUGUGGAUAUGAUGCUUGGCAGAGAUAUGAAGAAUCCUGUUGCAGAUCUCUCUCUCAACAGGCAAUUUAGGCUUUAUUGACUACUUUGAAAUCAGCAAAAGUCUAAUGGAACCUCUUACCCUGAUCGAGGGAGAGGAAGUAGUUUCUCUAAAUUGUUCAUAUUCAAUCCCUUGUCUCACAAUCCUAGUGGGAGGGAACAAACCCUAGAGAUACACAUUCAAAUUGCCCAGGUGCCAGGAGUGGGUCCCUGGCCCUGCACUCGGAGAAUUAAAAAGCUACCCUACAGAGAUGAGGGAUACAAAGGGCUCUAGAAUAAAUUCUCCUUAUGUGCCACCUGGUACCCCCUCCAUCCACCCCUGUAGCUUCACCCCAGGCUAUGUGUAAAACUUAACAAAUAUAGGUCUUCAAAAAUGUGUACUGAUCUGCUAUUUCCUUAGGAAAGACAGUUUCCCUAAAGAAGCUUUCUCUUCAUGUACAGAGAAGAAGGAGGUCUUGCCUCAUUCUUCCUUUAAACCAGCAAGCUCUACUAUAGAAGCUCAAAUCAUCCAUUUUUAUUUUUAUUGUGGUUCCGCAGAUCAAACGACAAGAACGUACUAAAUAACUGCUACCAAGAACACCCGAAUCAAAUACUUCGGAUGAGAAAAAGAAUGAAAGUCAUUAAAUAUUGCCUUUUCCUGGGGAUAAGUAAUUCUAAAAGCAAAAGCAUGGAGCUGUAUCUGCUGUCGAUCAAACGUUCCUAACAACACCCAUCUUCUAAAGUACAUUCUGCCUGGGAACAAGAAAGAAAAAAGAAGUUAUCUUUUGUAUAAACAGCUUCCCUUUAUCUACUCCUGUCCCACAUGCGUUAAGAUAGCUGGUUAAGACAGAACUCUACAUACCUGAAAUGUCUGGGUUUGACAUCAAGAUGAUUAGGGUGUAUCUAGUUCAGUCUCCUAUCUGACUUUUAACCUCACUGGUUGAUUUUAAAAUAAAAAAUGUUUCUUUUUGCUCUACCUGAGUUUUGUUUGUAUUGAAUUUCCUUUCCUGUCAUAAAAGUUGAUCAAAUAAGGGAAUAUUGAGUUGUC
This is a long non-coding RNA of Manis pentadactyla (Chinese pangolin), 7817 nucleotides long. RefSeq lists it as uncharacterized. The transcript is spliced from 3 exons. The record is from RefSeq and is a predicted model, not a curated record. NCBI's taxonomy places the organism in Eukaryota, Metazoa, Chordata, Mammalia, Pholidota, Manidae.